RNAcentral lists this ribosomal RNA (497 nucleotides) under uncultured bacterium. Its description in RNAcentral is "partial 16S ribosomal RNA". It matches the Rfam family "Bacterial small subunit ribosomal RNA", at positions 28 to 507 of the family's 1533-position model. The record is from RNAcentral.
GAUGAACGCUGGCGGCGUGCCUAAUACACGCAAGUCGAGCGAACAGACGAGGAGCUUGCUCCUCUGACGUUAGCGGCGGACGGGUGAGUAACACGUGGAUAACCUACCUAUAAGACUGGGAUAACUUCGGGAAACCGGAGCUAAUACCGGAUAAUAUAUUGAACCGCAUGGUUCAAUAGUGAAAGACGGUUUUGCUGUCACUUAUAGAUGGAUCCGCGCCGCAUUAGCUAGUUGGUAAGGUAACGGCUUACCAAGGCAACGAUGCGUAGCCGACCUGAGAGGGUGAUCGGCCACACUGGGACUGAGACACGGUCCAGACUCCUACGGGAGGCAGCAGUAGGGAAUCUUCCGCAAUGGGCGAAAGCCUGACGGAGCAACGCCGCGUGAGUGAUGAAGGUCUUCGGAUCGUAAAACUCUGUUAUUAGGGAAGAACAAAUGUGUAAGUAACUAUGCACGUCUUGACGGUACCUAAUCAGAAAGCCACGGCUAACUACGUG